RNAcentral lists this ribosomal RNA (254 nucleotides) under uncultured bacterium. Its description in RNAcentral is "partial 16S ribosomal RNA". It matches the Rfam family "Bacterial small subunit ribosomal RNA", at positions 524 to 776 of the family's 1533-position model. The record is from RNAcentral.
UACGUAGGGUGCAAGCGUUAAUCGGAAUUACUGGGCGUAAAGCGUGCGCAGGCGGUUAUGUAAGACAGUUGUGAAAUCCCCGGGCUCAACCUGGGAACUGCAUCUGUGACUGCAUAGCUAGAGUACGGCAGAGGGGGGAUGGAAUUCCGCGUGUAGCAGUGAAAUGCGUAGAUAUGCGGAGGAACACCGAUGGCGAAGGCAAUCCCCUGGACCUGUACUGACGCUCAUGCACGAAAGCGUGGGGAGCAAACAGG